Apis mellifera (honey bee) is the source of this 261-nucleotide long non-coding RNA. RefSeq lists it as uncharacterized. The transcript has 2 exons. Lineage: Eukaryota; Metazoa; Arthropoda; Insecta; Hymenoptera; Apidae. The record is from RefSeq and is a predicted model, not a curated record.
CUUUAAUUCGUUUUCUACAAAUUUCAGGUUAUAAUAUUAUAAAACGUUUUGAAUAUUACACAUUAAUAAAAAUGUAAAAUCCUUACGGCGAUACUAAAUUGACUGCGACGUGAUGAAUCCAUUGAAUAAAAUUUGCAAGACUUAUAUCUUGAUGGCAUAUGACAGCCAUUUUGUCAGAUUUUGGAAUAUCAACAUAAUUUUCAAAAUGUUGUAAAAUUGGACUAUAUAAUUGUUUAAAGUAUGUCAACUGGGGCAGAACAA